CUGCGAAUGGCUCAUUAAAUCAGUUAUCGUUUAUUUGAUAGUACCUUACUACUUGGAUAACCGUGGUAAUUCUAGAGCUAAUACAUGCUAAAAACCCCGACUUCGGGAGGGGUGUAUUUAUUAGAUAAAAAACCAACGCCCUUCGGGGCUCCUUGGUGAAUCAUAAUAACUUAACGGAUCGCAUGGCCUUGCGCCGGCGACGGUUCAUUCAAAUUUCUGCCCUAUCAACUUUCGAUUGUAGGGUAUUGGCCUACAAUGGUAUCAACGGGUAACGGGGAAUUAGGGUUCGAUUCCGGAGAGGGAGCCUGAGAAACGGCUACCACAUCCAAGGAAGGCAGCAGGCGCGCAAAUUACCCAAUCCCGACACGGGGAGGUAGUGACAAUAAAUACUGAUACAGGGCUCUUUUGGGUCUUGUAAUUGGAAUGAGUACAAUUUAAAUCCCUUAACGAGGAACAAUUGGAGGGCAAGUCUGGUGCCAGCAGCCGCGGUAAUUCCAGCUCCAAUAGCGUAUAUUAAAGUUGUUGCAGUUAAAAAGCUCGUAGUUGAACCUUGGGUCUGGCUGGCCGGUCCGCCUCACCGCGUGCACUGGUCCGGCCGGACCUUUCCUUCUGGAGAACCGCAUGCCCUUCACUGGGUGUGCCGGGGAACCAGGACUUUUACUUUGAAAAAAUUAGAGUGUUCAAAGCAGGCCUUUGCUCGAAUACAUUAGCAUGGAAUAAUAGAAUAGGACGUGCGGUCCUAUUUUGUUGGUUUCUAGGACCGCCGUAAUGAUUAAUAGGGAUAGUCGGGGGCAUCAGUAUUCAAUUGUCAGAGGUGAAAUUCUUAGAUUUAUUGAAGACUAACUACUGCGAAAGCAUUUGCCAAGGAUGUUUUCAUUAAUCAGUGAACGAAAGUUAGGGGAUCGAAGACGAUCAGAUACCGUCGUAGUCUUAACCGUAAACUAUGCCGACUAGGGAUCGGGCGAUGUUAUUCUUUUGACUCGCUCGGCACCUUACGAGAAAUCAAAG
Molecule: ribosomal RNA, 1008 nt
Filed under: Rhytidhysteron neorufulum
Lineage: Eukaryota; Fungi; Ascomycota; Dothideomycetes; Hysteriales; Hysteriaceae
Description: SSU rRNA
Rfam family: Eukaryotic small subunit ribosomal RNA
Source: RNAcentral